AUACUUACCUGGUAGGGGAAAUACAAUGAUCAAGAAGGUGGUUCAUCCAGGGCGAGGCUCAGCCAUUGCACUCCGGUGGUGCAGACCCCUGCGAAUUCCCCAAAUGUGGGACUGCAUUAUUUCUGGCAGUGGGGAACUGCGUUCACGCUCUUCCCUG
Scatophagus argus is the source of this 157-nucleotide small nuclear RNA. RefSeq annotates it as U1 spliceosomal RNA. NCBI's taxonomy places the organism in Eukaryota, Metazoa, Chordata, Actinopteri, Scatophagidae. The transcript has a single exon. The record is from RefSeq and is a predicted model, not a curated record.